RNAcentral lists this ribosomal RNA (500 nucleotides) under uncultured bacterium. RNAcentral describes it as "bacterial SSU rRNA". It matches the Rfam family "Bacterial small subunit ribosomal RNA", at positions 28 to 524 of the family's 1533-position model. The record is from RNAcentral.
GAUGAACGCUAGCGGCAGGCCUAACACAUGCAAGUCGAACGGUAAGUUAGAAGCUUGCUUUUAACACGAGUGGCGCACGGGUGCGUAACGCGUAUGCAAUCUGCCCUUUUCUGGAGAAUAGCCCUUAGAAAUGAGGAUUAAUACUCCAUAGUAUAACGAUUUCGCAUGUUAUUGUUAUUAAAGCUUCGGCGGAAAAGGAUGAGCAUGCGUCCCAUUAGUUUGUUGGUGAGGUAACGGCUCACCAAGACUGCGAUGGGUAGGGGGCCUGAGAGGGUUAUCCCCCACACUGGUACUGAGACACGGACCAGACUCCUACGGGAGGCAGCAGUGAGGAAUAUUGCACAAUGGACGAAAGUCUGAUGCAGCCAUGCCGCGUGCAGGAUGACGGCCCUACGGGUUGUAAACUGCUUUUAUAUAGGAAGAAACCUCUUUACGUGUAAAGAGCUGACGGUACUAUAAGAAUAAGGACCGGCUAACUCCGUGCCAGCAGCCGCGGUAAU